Molecule: ribosomal RNA, 188 nt
Filed under: Meloidogyne naasi
Lineage: Eukaryota; Metazoa; Nematoda; Chromadorea; Rhabditida; Meloidogynidae
Description: partial 18S ribosomal RNA
Rfam family: Eukaryotic small subunit ribosomal RNA
Source: RNAcentral
UUGAUUACGUCCCUGCCCUUUGUACACACCGCCCGUCGCUGCCCGGGAUGAGCCAUUUCGAGAAAUUUGGGGACCGUUAAUUAAACAUUUAUUUGUUUUUUUGAUGGAAACCAAUUUAAUCGCAGUGGCUUGAACCGGGCAAAAGUCGUAACAAGGUAGCUGUAGGUGAACCUGCUGCUGGAUCAUUA